UACGAAGGGUGCAAGCGUUACUCGGAAUUACUGGGCGUAAAGCGUGCGUAGGUGGUUUGUUAAGUCUGAUGUGAAAGCCCUGGGCUCAACCUGGGAAUUGCAUUGGAUACUGGCAGGCUAGAGUGCGGUAGAGGGUAGUGGAAUUCCCGGUGUAGCAGUGAAAUGCGUAGAGAUCGGGAGGAACAUCUGUGGCGAAGGCGACUACCUGGACCAGCACUGACACUGAGGCACGAAAGCGUGGGGAGCAAACAGGAUUAGAUACCCUGGUAGUCCACGCCCUAAACGAUGCGAACUGGAUGUUGGGCUCAACUUGGAGCUCAGUAUCGAAGCUAACGCGUUAAGUUCGCCGCCUGGGGAGUACGGUCGCAAGACUGAA
Molecule: ribosomal RNA, 376 nt
Filed under: uncultured bacterium
Lineage: Bacteria
Description: bacterial SSU rRNA
Rfam family: Bacterial small subunit ribosomal RNA
Source: RNAcentral